This is a long non-coding RNA of Hyla sarda, 2827 nucleotides long. RefSeq lists it as uncharacterized. The record is from RefSeq and is a predicted model, not a curated record. The transcript has 5 exons. NCBI's taxonomy places the organism in Eukaryota, Metazoa, Chordata, Amphibia, Anura, Hylidae.
GGGUGUGUCACUACGCUCUACAUCAUUACGCGGCCACCGUAUCUGUAUGGCCGCGCACCACUCGUCAUCUGGGGGAGGAGCCUCUGCCUAGCUUCCAAGUAUCUCAACUCCAAUGCAAAUGGACCGGGGACCGGAGUAUUGAAUGAAAGCCAGAGGCGGUACAACUUUAGCUUUUGCCUCCGACUCCUACAGCAGCAGCAUAUUCCUCGUCCUUGAUGAAAAGUGGUGCACUGCUGGAUGCAGCUACAUGGUGUGGUCCGCACCAGUCCGUGCACUGCUGGACAAAGGAGGUGAGCUGAGUAUUCGUUCACAGCUUUUAUUAUAUGUAUGUAUGUAUGAUGUGUGGGAGGGUACAGCAUAUAGCAUGGUUAUUUUUGAAGGUUUAUAAAGGUGACAACAUUAUAUUCAGGGGGUACAGUAUUUAGCAGCAUAAUAAUGAUUAUUGUCUUCAUACAGAGGAUGAGGAUCUACUGACAAAGUGAGGAGCCUAUGAUGUCCGGGUGUCAGACUCUGCAGAGAAGAUGGAGCGGGAAGACGUCCUGACAUCUGGACCAGAUGAAGAAGGAAAGAAAAGAUAACAGAGAAGACGUCACUCAGGUCACUGAUAUCAUUGUGUAUCAGCUGGAGUCACUUGUAACCAGCAGUUUACCUCAUACAGCAUUGUGGCUGGUCUGCAUCAUGGUUUAACCUGCCUGUGUACCAGUAUCUAAAUCACUUAUAUGAGGAGGCAACAUACAACUACCGGGAAGUGAAGACAGAUAUCAGCGAAAAGGACGGUGGCUGGCUGGCUGACUCCGGUUUGCGCCAUCCUGUUUGGAAGUGGUCCCCCGGGUUAUCCUGGGGUUCUGCUCCGUUCAGGAGUGGGACCGCCUGUGUGCGAAUUGCACAUAGUGCGGACCCAGGUGCAUCACACGCCAUUACAGUGACCUGUCUCACCCGGGAAAAGCAAACAGAUUAGUGGCAGUGUAACCCCGCACAACCCAUGGACCUCCAAUCAGAAGAAUCCAAGCUCACCACAAACAGAUGACCAGAUGACCAAUGCUUCUAAUGGAGUGAAGAAGGCUACCCAUUCCUCAGCAUUCAAUGAUUGGAAGAUGACAAGGAUCAGGACUGGGUUUGGAUGACAUCGCGAGACAGGAGAACCCAGAACCAAAGGAUUCCCUCCAACAUAUUUUGGAAAAGGCUUUUGGACACCACAAAGGACGUUUUAAUUAAACUGUCUCCAGAGAAGCUAAAAAUGAGGACAGUAGCUGGCAACAGUAUAGUCGGUGCUAUAGCUACAUAGUGAACAAUGUGGGUGACAUAAACCAUGAUCUAUGUAAGCUGACAGCAAGAAUCUAGGGAUACCUACUGUAAACUUAUUAACUUGUGAAUACUGAGUUUAGAGGAUUAGCAAUCCAGCAUGCAACUCUAAUGUGGUUUUCUGGUAUUAGGAUCAAGAGGUGGAAUGUUCUGGACAUGAAAAUGACAUACAUUUUAUUUGCUAUAUUUGUGAUCCUAGACCAAGAAAGCCACAUCGGUUUAGACAAAGGAAAGAUGGAGUCUCUUACCUGGGAUCUCCUAGUCAUGUUCAAAGGGGGCAAAUAGGUGGGAUUUUGUAACAUUAGACAAAGACCACCUGUGGGUGGGCUAAGGGGCGGAGAAAACAUAAAAGCCCAUUGAAAGGGGCCAAGCUCGCUCUUUCUCUUCCUGGGCUGCAUACCAACACACCUUUCCAUUUAACUUCCUGUUGGGCCUGAAUCCUGAAACAAAGGACUGCAGCCUUUCCCCAUGCCUGGCAUUUGUUCAUCAUACUUGCAGUAAAAGGUUCCCCGAAGCUAAGUAUUUCAGUAUUAUAUUCUUUGUGUGAGAUAUAUAUAUAUAGUUGUAUAACCCACCUAUAUAGCCAAUUUUAGGGUUUCUACUAUAAUUGUAUAUGUGUUUCCUUACACUGCAGAUUUAAGUUUAUAGCUAUUUAUAAAGUCUUUUUCUCUUUUUUCUCUUUUAGUAAGAGUGUGUUUUAGUUAGUUGUAUAUUAAACAUCUUUAUUUCUGCCAGUAUUUAUAUGUGUAGUGUUGAUUUCUGCAUUGGAUAUUAGGAUAUAACUCCUCCAAAAUUCCUAAAAUAGUCUGUGGGGAGUUUAUGAAUGCAUUUGGUAGUACUGUUCACCUAAGUGUCUAUGCACCUGGUCUGUGAAUAUAUUGUAUUCACAUGACCGCAUGGUGGCAGCCAUUUUGGUCGGACAUUUUGUGUCUCAGAUGCAUGGUCUGCAGAUUUUAACUGGUCGUAUAACCUUUGGAGCCAAGUCCAAUUCGACCCCAAAGCCACGAACCACAACAGGUAGCAAGGAACAGGUACACAGUAAUAGAGACACAGAACUUUCACUAUGGUAAUAGACAACCAAAGAUCCGGCAGGGAACCAAGGGAGGAGCUGAUAUUUAAGGACCAGGGUGCAGGUGUAGACACUUAAUUAAAUGAGCACUGGCCCUUUAAGAGUGAGAGCUCCAACGCGCGUGCCCUGGGAGGCGGGGGCACGUGCGCCGGGGCUACGCGGACACGGAGAUGUGGGAGGUGAGUGACAAGCUGGGAUUCGCAUGCGUGCACGUCCCGUGAUGCGAAACCCAGCCCCGCCAGCAGCGGGGACAUGAGCAAAGAGCGCUUACGGCCGGCAUGUCCACUGCACAUUUCUUGUCUUGCCAGAGAGCCGGAGCACAGGCAUUACAAAAGUAUUGGCACAUCCUAGCAAUACUUCAUCUUUAAGUUUAUAUUACUGACACUUUCAAAGGUAUAGGUAAUAUCCUUGUAGUAUAGUUAAUUAAAUAAAUGUAUAAUUGUACAAUGCGUUUUG